GACAGAGGUCCCGAGCGUUAGGCGGAAUCACUGGGCUUAAAGCGUGUGUAGGCGGACUUCUAAGUACCUUGUGAAAUCCCACGGCUCAACCGUGGAACUGCUUGGUAUACUGGUUGUCUUGGGCCAUCUAGGGGCGAGCGGAACAAACGGUGGAGCGGUGAAAUGCGUAGAUAUCGUUUGGAACGCCAAUGGUGAAAACAGCUCGCUGGGGAUGUGCCGACGCUGAGACACGAAAGCGUGGGUAGCAAACAGG
RNAcentral lists this ribosomal RNA (253 nucleotides) under uncultured bacterium. RNAcentral describes it as "partial 16S ribosomal RNA". It matches the Rfam family "Bacterial small subunit ribosomal RNA", at positions 524 to 776 of the family's 1533-position model. The record is from RNAcentral.